RNAcentral lists this ribosomal RNA (472 nucleotides) under uncultured bacterium. Its description in RNAcentral is "bacterial SSU rRNA". It matches the Rfam family "Bacterial small subunit ribosomal RNA", at positions 355 to 825 of the family's 1533-position model. The record is from RNAcentral.
UGGGGAAUUUUUCGCAAUGGGCGCAAGCCUGACGAUGCAACGCCGCGUGGAGGAUGAGGGUCUUCGGAUUGUAAACUCCUGUCGACCGGGACGAAUGCACCCGACCUAAUACGUCGAAGUGUUGACGGUACCGGUGGAGGAAGCCACGGCUAACUCUGUGCCAGCAGCCGCGGUAAUACAGAGGUGGCAAGCGUUGUUCGGAAUUACUGGGCGUAAAGGGCGCGUAGGCGGCCUUAUAAGUCUCGUGUGAAAGCCCUCGGCUUAACCGGGGAACUGCGUCUGAUACUGGAUGGCUUGAGGUUGGGAGAGGGAUGCGGAAUUCCAGGUGUAGCGGUGAAAUGCGUAGAUAUCUGGAGGAACACCGGUGGCGAAGGCGACAUCCUGGACCAAUUCUGACGCUGAGGAGCGAAAGCCAGGGGAGCAAACGGGAUUAGAUACCCCUGUAGUCCCUGAGCGGGCUGGCAAGGCGCAU